GGAUUGGCAGGGGAGAGUUCUGAAGCGCGCGCGCGCGGGGCGGUUGAGACCGCUGGGGAUUGUGGGGCAGUGGAGGACUUAAAGGAACUGAGACUAAACUGGCUAGAGGGGAAUAAGGCCCUCAAACAGCGUUUGGGCGUCAACCGCUCUAAGGGAAGGACGAAGGAGCCUCUGUCAUGCGCAAAGGGCCCUUUUUAACAUUUUAAAGACCAUUUCUGAGAUGUACUGGCUCGGCGUUGUCUAUUGGUGGCAUGUAGGUGCUGCUUUUCUCCUGGAAGGGACCCAAAGCAGGCUACUGAUCCAAGGAGUGGAUGACGCCUUGCGCUUCCAGCUGGUGAACUGUGCCCUUCAAUUUGUUCAAAAUGGAGUAGGGGAUCUUUCUACACCCAUGGACAACAGGAGGGAUUGUUAAAUCCAGAAAGAUGGGGACCUUUUUCCAGAAAGCUGACAUCUCAGGACACUCCCACCAGUAAUGGAUGAAAGAUCCAGAUAGCCCACAGCUCUUCUAGCAGUUUGGGUUAUCCUUCACCUUGCCCUUAAACAACAUAUAAGGGGUCACAUAUCACCUGGCAAAGAUUUUGUAAUUCUGUAAUCUGAAAUAAUAAGAUUUUGAUUUAAAUAAAGAAGUUUGCCAAA
Molecule: long non-coding RNA, 636 nt
Organism: Heteronotia binoei (common prickly gecko)
Lineage: Eukaryota; Metazoa; Chordata; Lepidosauria; Squamata; Gekkonidae
Exons: 4
Source: RefSeq, a predicted model, not a curated record